Molecule: unclassified non-coding RNA, 858 nt
Filed under: Lactiplantibacillus plantarum
Lineage: Bacteria; Bacillati; Bacillota; Bacilli; Lactobacillales; Lactobacillaceae
Description: Lactobacillus plantarum partial contains 16S ribosomal RNA, 16S-23S ribosomal RNA intergenic spacer, and 23S ribosomal RNA
Rfam family: Bacterial large subunit ribosomal RNA (bases 335-858)
Source: RNAcentral
AGAGUUUGUAACACCCAAAGUCGGUGGGGUAACCUUUUAGGAACCAGCCGCCUAAGGUGGGACAGAUGAUUAGGGUGAAGUCGUAACAAGGUAGCCGUAGGAGAACCUGCGGCUGGAUCACCUCCUUUCUAAGGAAUAUUACGGAAACCUACACACGCGUCGAAACUUUGUUUAGUUUUGAGAGAUUUAACUCUCAAAACUUGUUCUUUGAAAACUAGAUAAUAUCAAAUAUAUUUUUUUCAUAAUGAAACCGAGAACACCGCGUUUUUUGAGUUUUUUAUUGAAGUUUAAUUAUCGCUAAACUCAUUAAUCCCAUUUACCGUUAGGUAAAUGAGGUUAAGUUAACAAGGGCGCAUGGUGAAUGCCUUGGCACUAGGAGCCGAUGAAGGACGGGACUAACACCGAUAUGCUUCGGGGAACUGUACGUAAGCUAUGAUCCGGAAAUUUCCGAAUGGGGCAACCCAGCAGUUUUAAUCAACUGGUUACCACUAGAUGAAUUCAUAGUCUAGUUGGAGGUAAACGCUGUGAACUGAAACAUCUCAUUAACAGCAGGAAUAUAAAGAAAUUUCGAUUCCCUAAGUAGCGGCGAACGAACGGGGAACAGCCCAAACCAAAGUGCUUGCACUUUGGGGUUGUAGGACUGAACAUUUGAGUUACCAAAGAACUUGAUAGUCCAAGGAUUUGGGAAAAUCCGCCAUAGAUGGUGAUAGCCCAGUAGAUUAAAUCAAAUUCUCUCAGUUCAGGAUCCUGAGUACGGCGGAACACGUGAAAUUCCGUCGGAAUCCGGGGGAACCAUCUCCCAAAGCUAAAUACUACCUAGUGACCAAUAAUUAACCAGUACCCUGAAAAAAAAGCCAA